GAGGAUAUAACUCAGUUGGUAGAGUGCUUGCCUUGCAUGCACAAGGCCCUGGGUUCAAUCCCCAGCACCCAUU
This 73-nucleotide transfer RNA is filed under the name Marmota marmota marmota (Alpine marmot). It matches the Rfam family "tRNA". Rfam says of the family: Transfer RNA (tRNA) molecules are approximately 80 nucleotides in length. Their secondary structure includes four short double-helical elements and three loops (D, anti-codon, and T loops). RNAcentral also lists the same sequence under 1 other name. Lineage: Eukaryota; Metazoa; Chordata; Mammalia; Rodentia; Sciuridae. The record is from Rfam by way of RNAcentral.